UCCAUUUUCCAUGAUGAACAACCAACAAA
This 29-nucleotide non-coding RNA is filed under the name Mus musculus (house mouse). The record is from RNAcentral. Lineage: Eukaryota; Metazoa; Chordata; Mammalia; Rodentia; Muridae.